Molecule: ribosomal RNA, 158 nt
Filed under: uncultured bacterium
Lineage: Bacteria
Description: partial 16S ribosomal RNA
Rfam family: Bacterial small subunit ribosomal RNA
Source: RNAcentral
UGAGGAAUAUUGGUCAAUGGGCGGGAGCCUGAACCAGCCAAGUCGCGUGAGGGAAGACGGUCCUAUGGAUUGUAAACCUCUUUUGUCGGGGAGCAAAGAGGCCACGUGUGGUCAAAAUCGAGAGUACCCGAAGAAAAAGCAUCGGCUAACUCCGUGCC